This 525-nucleotide ribosomal RNA is filed under the name uncultured Polynucleobacter sp. RNAcentral describes it as "partial 16S ribosomal RNA". The record is from RNAcentral. Lineage: Bacteria; Pseudomonadati; Pseudomonadota; Betaproteobacteria; Burkholderiales; Burkholderiaceae.
CGCGUUAGCUACGUUACUCAGGAUGUAAAUCCCGAACAACUAGUCAGCAUCGUUUAGGGCGUGGACUACCAGGGUAUCUAAUCCUGUUUGCUCCCCACGCUUUCGUGCAUGAGCGUCAGUGUUAUCCCAGGGGGCUGCCUUCGCCAUUGGUAUUCCUCCACAUAUCUACGCAUUUCACUGCUACACGUGGAAUUCUACCCCCCUCUGACACACUCUAGCUAUACAGUCACAGGCGCCAUUCCCAGGUUAAGCCCGGGGAUUUCACGCCUGUCUUGUAUAACCGCCUGCGCACGCUUUACGCCCAGUAAUUCCGAUUAACGCUCGCACCCUACGUAUUACCGCGGCUGCUGGCACGUAGUUAGCCGGUGCUUAUUCUUCAGGUACCGUCAUUCCCGGACUGUGUUAGAGCCGGUGUUUCUUCCCUGACAAAAGAGCUUUACAACCCGAAGGCCUUCUUCACUCACGCGGCAUUGCUGGAUCAGGGUUUCCCCCAUUGUCCAAAAUUCCCCACUGCUGCCUCCCGUA